AUUAAACGCUGGCGGCAUGCCUUACACAUGCAAGUCGAACGGUAGCGCGGGGCAACCUGGCGACGAGUGGCGAACGGGUGAGUAAAGCAUCGGAACGUGCCCUGGAAUGGGGGAUAACGUAGCGAAAGUUACGCUAAUACCGCAUAUUCUGUGAGCAGGAAAGCAGGGGAUCGCAAGACCUUGCGUUCUGGGAGCGGCCGAUGUCGGAUUAGCUAGUUGGUGGGGUAAAAGCCUACCAAGGCGACGAUCCGUAGCGGGUCUGAGAGGAUGAUCCGCCACACUGGGACUGAGACACGGCCCAGACUCCUACGGGAGGCAGCAGUGGGGAAUUUUUGGACAAUGGGCGGAAGCCUGAUCCAGCCAUGCCGCGUGAGUGAAGAAGGCCUCGGUUGUAAGAC
This 398-nucleotide ribosomal RNA is filed under the name uncultured bacterium. Its description in RNAcentral is "bacterial SSU rRNA". It matches the Rfam family "Bacterial small subunit ribosomal RNA", at positions 29 to 431 of the family's 1533-position model. The record is from RNAcentral.